GCUUUUCCAUGCAAUCAACAUUAGGGUUUUAAACCCUAAACUGAAUUUUUCUUUUAGUCAGCAUUAGGGUUUUAAACCCUAAACUGAAUUUUUCUUUUAGUCAGCAUUAGGGUUUUAAACCCUAAACUGAACUUUUCCUUUUCAGCCAGCAUUAGGGGUUUAAACCCUAAACUGAGCUUUUCCAUGCAAUCAGCAUUAGGGUUUUAAACCCUAAACUGAACUUUUUCCUUUCAGCCAGCAUUAGGGUUUUAAACCCUAAACUGAGCUUUUCUAUGCAAUCAGCAUUAGGGUUUAAACCCUAAACUAAAUUUUCCUUUUAGUCAGCAUUAGGGUUUUAAACCCUAAACUGAACUUUUCCUUUUCAGCCAGCAUUAGGGUUUUAAACCCUAAACUGAGCUUUUCCAUGCAAUCAGCAUUAGGGUUUUAAACCUUAAACUGAAUUUUCUUUUUAGUCAGCAUUAGGGUUUUAAACCCUAAACUGAAUUUUUCCUUCCAACCAGCAUUAGAGUUUUAAACUCUAAACUGAGCUUUUCCAU
This 536-nucleotide long non-coding RNA is filed under the name Nicotiana tabacum (common tobacco). RNAcentral describes it as "long non-coding RNA (NTAB_LNC013970)". Lineage: Eukaryota; Viridiplantae; Streptophyta; Magnoliopsida; Solanales; Solanaceae. The record is from RNAcentral.